UGAACGCUGGCGGCGUGCCUAAUACAUGCAAGUCGAGCGAACAGAUGCGGAGCUUGCUCCUCUGACGUUAGCGGCGGACGGGUGAGUAACACGUGGAUAACCUACCUAUAAGACUGGGAUAACUUCGGGAAACCGGAGCUAAUACCGGAUAAUAUAUUGAACCGCAUGGUUCAAUAGUGAAAGACGGUUUUGCUGUCACUUAUAGAUGGAUCCGCGCCGCAUUAGCUAGUUGGUAAGGUAACGGCUUACCAAGGCAACGAUGCGUAGCCGACCUGAGAGGGUGAUCGGCCACACUGGAACUGAGACACGGUCCAGACUCCUACGGGAGGCAGCAGUAGGGAAUCUUCCGCAAUGGGCGAAAGCCUGACGGAGCAACGCCGCGUGAGUGAUGAAGGUCUUCGGAUCGUAAAACUCUGUUAUUAGGGAAGAACAAAUGUGUAAGUAACUAUGCACGUCUUGACGGUACCUAAUCAGAAAGCCACGGCUAACUACGUG
Molecule: ribosomal RNA, 495 nt
Filed under: uncultured bacterium
Lineage: Bacteria
Description: partial 16S ribosomal RNA
Rfam family: Bacterial small subunit ribosomal RNA
Source: RNAcentral